AUUGAACGCUGGCGGCAGGCCUAACACAUGCAAGUCGAACGGUAACAGGAAGAAGCUUGCUUCUUUGCUGACGAGUGGCGGACGGGUGAGUAAUGUCUGGGAAACUGCCUGAUGGAGGGGGAUACCUACUGGAAACGGUAGCUAAUACCGCAUAACGUCGCAAGACCAAAAAGGGGGACCUUCGGGCCUCUUGCCAUCGGAUGUGCCCAGAUGGGAUUAGCUAGUAGGUGGGGUAACGGCUCACCUAGGCGACGAUCCCUAGCUGGUCUGAGAGGAUGACCAGCCACACUGGAACUGAGACACGGUCCAGACUCCUACGGGAGGCAGCAGUGGGGAAUAUUGCACAAUGGGCGCAAGCCUGAUGCAGCCAUGCCGCGUGUAUGAAGAAGGCCUUCGGGUUGUAAAGUACUUUCAGCGGGGAGGAAGGGAGUAAAGUUAAUACCUUUGCUCAUUGACGUUACCCGCAGAAGAAGCACCGGCUAACUCCGUG
RNAcentral lists this ribosomal RNA (490 nucleotides) under uncultured bacterium. Its description in RNAcentral is "partial 16S ribosomal RNA". It matches the Rfam family "Bacterial small subunit ribosomal RNA", at positions 30 to 507 of the family's 1533-position model. The record is from RNAcentral.